Molecule: ribosomal RNA, 265 nt
Filed under: uncultured bacterium
Lineage: Bacteria
Description: partial 16S ribosomal RNA
Rfam family: Bacterial small subunit ribosomal RNA
Source: RNAcentral
UACAGAGGUCUCAAGCGUUGUUCGGAUUCAUUGGGCGUAAAGGGUGCGUAGGCGGCGCGGUAAGUCGGGUGUGAAAUCUUGGAGCUUAACUCCGAAACUGCAUUCGAUACUGCCGUGCUUGAGGACUGGAGAGGAGACUGGAAUUUACGGUGUAGCGGUGAAAUGCGUAGAUAUCGUAAGGAAGACCAGUGGCGAAGGCGGGUCUCGUGGACAGUUCCUGACGCUGAGACACGAAAGCGUGGGUAGCAAACAGGAUUAGAUACCC